UGUAGAAAAUAAGAUAUAAUAUAUCUUAAGUUUCGUAUAUAUAUGUUUUCCUUAUGUAAAAAGAUCUCUUCUUCAUUAAUUCUUUUAAGUACAUAGUAACCACUGGUAACGAAGCAGUUGUGUGCUAACAAAUUGAGAUUUAACUUCCCCGCUAGUUUCGUCGUUUAACAACUGUUUAAUCAUUCAAGAACCUCGAGUAACCUAAACUAAAUUUUCUUCGGGGUUUAUUUGUUAACAUUCGGCAGUUGUUUCCCACCCACCGACAGCUCACCACUCUCCUUACCAUGGCUCGUGUUUAAUGCUGGAUCUAUUAAGGAACUUUACAGAGACUUUUGUUAUGGAUCGUAUUCUCUGCUAGCAAUGGAAGGAUAAGGAUUAUCUACAUUUCUGAACCACGGAGCGACAGCGGGUAGCAUGGUUCUCCGCCCUUUACCAGCUAUUCCCAGCACUCUACAUCUCUGGUCUGCGUGAAGAUCUAUUAACGACGGGGAACUCUUCAGACUUCAAGACGUUUGAUUACUUUGAGGUUGUGAGAGAUUCAAGACGAGGGGGACAUGGGGUCCAGUGCCAAGGACACCGCAUCUGGGUGGCAUCAUUAAUUUUUCAAUAGUGAUAUUGACACUGUUGUGAUAAUAGUAAUAAAUGUGUUUAAAUUUU
Long non-coding RNA from Macrobrachium nipponense, 657 nucleotides. RefSeq lists it as uncharacterized. The record is from RefSeq and is a predicted model, not a curated record. NCBI's taxonomy places the organism in Eukaryota, Metazoa, Arthropoda, Malacostraca, Decapoda, Palaemonidae. The transcript is spliced from 2 exons.